This 287-nucleotide ribosomal RNA is filed under the name uncultured Campylobacter sp. RNAcentral describes it as "partial 16S ribosomal RNA". It matches the Rfam family "Bacterial small subunit ribosomal RNA", at positions 179 to 486 of the family's 1533-position model. The record is from RNAcentral. Lineage: Bacteria; Pseudomonadati; Campylobacterota; Epsilonproteobacteria; Campylobacterales; Campylobacteraceae.
CUGCUUAACACAAGUUGAGUAGGGAAAGUUUUUCGGUGUAGGAUGAGACUAUAUAGUAUCAGCUAGUUGGUAAGGUAAUGGCUUACCAAGGCUAUGACGCUUAACUGGUCUGGGAGGAUGAUCAGUCACACUGGAACUGAGACACGGUCCAGACUCCUACGGGAGGCAGCAGUAGGGAAUAUUGCGCAAUGGGGGAAACCCUGACGCAGCAACGCCGCGUGGAGGAUGACACUUUUCGGAGCGUAAACUCCUUUUCUUAGGGAAGAAUUCUGACGGUACCUAAGGAA